CUAACGAGAGUGGCUGUCCGCUGGGUUUCGGACCAUGACGGAAGUCAUCGGUCCGUCCUGUGUUGAAGUGCUGGGAACACCGGAGCAGGCAGGCAACUGAACAUUCCAUUCCCCCGCAGCUAUUGGUCUUGGGAUCGAGCUCUUU
This 145-nucleotide non-coding RNA is filed under the name Extubocellulus spinifer. The record is from RNAcentral. Lineage: Eukaryota; Bacillariophyta; Thalassiosirophyceae; Cymatosirales; Cymatosiraceae.